UAACUCCGUGCCAGCAGCCGCGGUAAUACGGAGGGUGCGAGCGUUAAUCGGAAUUACUGGGCGUAAAGCGCGCGUAGGUGGCUUGAUAAGCCGGUUGUGAAAGCCCCGGGCUCAACCUGGGAACGGCAUCCGGAACUGUCAGGCUAGAGUGCAGGAGAGGAAGGUAGAAUUCCCGGUGUAGCGGUGAAAUGCGUAGAGAUCGGGAGGAAUACCAGUGGCGAAGGCGGCCUUCUGGACUGACACUGACACUGAGGUGCGAAAGCGUGGGUAGCAAACAGGAUUAGAUACCCUGGUAGUCCACGCCGUAAACGAUGUCGACUAGCCGUUGGGUCCUUCGCGGACUUUGUGGCGCAGUUAACGCGAUAAGUCGACCGCCUGGGGAGUACGGCCGCAAGGUUAAAACUCAAAUGAAUUGACGGGGGCCCGCACAAGCGGUGGAGCAUGUGGUUUAAUUCGAUGCAACGCGAAGAACCUUACCUACC
RNAcentral lists this ribosomal RNA (482 nucleotides) under Billgrantia desiderata. RNAcentral describes it as "bacterial SSU rRNA". It matches the Rfam family "Bacterial small subunit ribosomal RNA", at positions 498 to 979 of the family's 1533-position model. Lineage: Bacteria; Pseudomonadati; Pseudomonadota; Gammaproteobacteria; Oceanospirillales; Halomonadaceae. The record is from RNAcentral.